Molecule: long non-coding RNA, 3181 nt
Organism: Lolium perenne
Lineage: Eukaryota; Viridiplantae; Streptophyta; Magnoliopsida; Poales; Poaceae
Source: RefSeq, a predicted model, not a curated record
UUUCAACAUGCGCAGUGUGGUUGGAGCGGCGGCGGUGUUCAUUGUUUGCCAGCGCUCCCCGGCGCCGGUGCGGGACCAAGAUCUCGUGUACCACUAUUUUUCAGUCGUUGGAUGCUUCAGAAGCAAAGGUGGGUGCCAGUUGACUCGAUGCUUCAGAGGCAGAGGUGGAUGCCAAAUUGAACUACAAUCUUCUUGAUGUGUUCCUGAUGGAUGUGGCGGUUCUGGACUAAACCAUGGAGACAUCUCCUUCUGCAUUGACAUUUAUUCUGUUUUUCCUUUUAGAUCCAAGGAUGUGAUUUAAAAGUUAAAACCCUGCACUUUCUAUCAUUGUACGACAAUAUGAGACUAUCUAAUGCCUAUAACUAUAGUUUUUCAUGCAGAGUUGUUUGGUUUUCUUUCUCUUUUACUGGAUAUUUUUAUUCUUGCUAUCGCUUAUCUUAAGUUACUGCAGGUGGAGCAAGGAGGAACAAUCAGCAGAUUUAGCAUUUAUUUUGCUAAAAAUGCAUGUUAUUGUAAUUAAAAUCAAUGUGCCUUUAAUCAGCAGGCUAUCGUGGAUUCCUGGUGGUCUCGUUGAGUCAUUGUUGGGCAUGGCUGGAAGGUUGGCAAAUGUCGUUGGAUGGUACCACUCACACCCUGGUUAUAGAUGAUGGUUGCCAUGCAUUGAUGUUUCUACUCAGAUGCUUCAUCAUCAGUUUACAGAGCCAUUUUUUGUUGUUAUCAUAGGCUCUGCAAGGACUAUUUCUGCUGGUAAAGUGUAAACUGGAGCUUUUAUGACAUAAACCAAAAAUUACAGCCUCCUGACAAGCGUUUGUACGAGCUUCAUACCAUACCACAAAGCAAGAUAGAAUAUUUUGGUGUUCACUACAAACAUGUAACUAGAUUAAUUUUCAAUAUUUUCUUUUGCUAAAAUAUGUGCCUUAGUUCUAUUGUAAUUGUAUUUUUUAUUGUAGUACUAAUCUUUGGACAUAACUUAUUUCAAGUCAUUCAGGGACUCUCACCUCCUGAUCUAUUCUAUAACAAGUGAUGAGUAAACAGGGGUUGUGAGAAAAUUUUAAUUUAGGUAGGUAUUUCCUUCUACAAUGAUAUAGAUACGCAUCACAGGGCCCAUGUCCCCCUCGUUUGUUUUUGGACUGCUAUCAAAUUAGUGUUUUGUGCUUGCCUUUAGUCCUUUCUCGCGUUUCAGAUGUAUCUUGAUUUACAUUACUAGGCUCCAUAUGUGUCUGUUUGAGUUUGAUCUCUAAUUCUUUACUUAAUUUUGAUGUAGGAAAGAUUAUGUUAGCAUCAUGUACGGAGAACCUAAUGUUUGUGCAUUGGCUUCUGAAUAUGGAUCAUUUGUUAAAUGUUGAUCUACGCACCAUGUUAGUGUUCGUGCUUUUGCAAUGGAUGAGGAAAGAGGUACCAGAUGAAUAUGAAAUCAAUGCUUAAAGGACCGAGAUAGUUAUGCUUUAGUUUGUUUUUUCUUAGGUUAUCCUUCUUUUAUUUGCUUUCAGUACUUCUGUAUCCAAUCUAAACUUCUAUUUGCGCCAACUGACACAUAGAAAUUCAGUUAUCUUGUUUACUAUCUAAUAUUAGGAAAAUUUCACCAUACCACUGCACUGAAAAAGUUACUAAGAUGAUUAGCUAAAAUCUAUUAUAACUUCACUGCAGUCCUGGAAUUUUCGGAGAAAUGCCAGAAGAAUUAACCACCGCACGCCUUUAUAGAUAACACUUAAUACGGGUAAUCAGCUUCAACCAUAUAGAAAAAUUGACUUACUCUCCUACUUUAAUGCCUGCAUACAACUACUUAAAAGAUGGAUUGGCUCUCAAAUUCACUUUACACCUGCUUCUCUCAUUAAGCUGCUCUCUCCUUCUCAAGGUGAGGGGGGUGAUUUAAGUCUUCGUCUGGUUUUUUACCGUAAAGAACUUUCUGUGAGCUUCCAACUAUGUGAACAAUGUUGUGUCGACCAAGUUAGUAGAUGUGAUGUACAUGAUCUGUCGGUGCUGAAAACAUAUGGGUGCUCAACCGAAUUUAACAUGCUUCAUGUUCACCCUACAACAGUUUGUUGGCUGACUUCUUCUCUAGCUGAGGUAUUUUUCUCUAGAAAUCUAAAUUGGAAAUUCACGAACAGACUGUAUAAAGUAAAAUGUAGAUGUUACCUGGGUCAUGUUUCCCAUAUUCAAAUCCUUACUCAAGGAAUUCCUACCUUCACAUGUGAUCCUUAAUCAUGGAUUUCCCUCAUGCAUGCUCACAUAUGUAGUACUCCCUUUAUCCAAAAUUAAUUGACCAUAUUUGUUUAGACUCGCAUGUAUCUACACACUAAAACGAGCCUAGUUACACGUGAAUGCAGACAAAUCUAUGUCAAUUAAUUUAGGAAGGAGGAAGUAGUACAAAACAGUCAAAUAUUUCAUAUGCGAAGGUAUAUAAAUUCUUGGAUCAAACCCUUUCUAUGCACAAGGAGUAAAAAAGUCAGGGGCCAUAUCCUGUACACCUCAUGUAACCAGGGUCAUUGUUAUGACACGACGAAGAGGCUAAGCACACGCUGGGCGACAGCCGGAGCGGGGCCUCGAGGACUGGGACGGUUGUCGUGGAGGGUGAUCUGUACACCACAGCCUCCAAGGCAUAAGAGGCAGAAGUAGCAGCCAAGAAGGCCGAGCGGCUUUUUCUGAAGGUGAGCAUUGAUGGGGCACCAUACCUCAGGAAGGUCGACCUCUAGACGUACAAGGGGUACAGGUAGCUCAGAGAGGCACUGGAUGUGUUCUUCUUUCCCAAGUCUUUUCCUGCCUCCAGGUGCCAGCAACCAGCUUUGAUUGAGGUUAAUUUUCUCACAGCUUUUACUCUGUAGAUAUUGCAGCAGGGAAGGAUCGAACCAUGCAUUGGUCUAAUUCCCUAAUAUUAGUUCAGAUUGUUGAUCAUGUGAAUCGACCAUUUAUGAUGUGUUUUUUUUCACAAAGGGCCUAGGCCCAGCCGCCGCAUAAAUUGAUGUAUCCGGCUCAUUUAUGAUGUGUUAUACCUUCUUUUAAGCAUGUGAGGUGCAUGUAUCAUACUCUGAUGUAAUCCUGAAUUCCAUAUAAUGCAAUCACAAUUCAGGUUGAUGUAUCUUUACCUAUCCAUAUUGUUGCAUUCAUCGAAGCGACCAACAUGGUACUAUUUCUUACUACAUGGUUUGUGAGUUAGUUGACCAUCACGGUGCUCAGAUUAGGU